Molecule: unclassified non-coding RNA, 366 nt
Filed under: Hemicrambe fruticulosa
Lineage: Eukaryota; Viridiplantae; Streptophyta; Magnoliopsida; Brassicales; Brassicaceae
Description: sequence contains ITS1, 5.8S rRNA gene and ITS2
Source: RNAcentral
GUUAUGUGGUCCGUCCACGGGGGAGACCACCUUCCGUCCAGUAUCCUGCACAGGAUGGGGGGACAACAAUUUGUGACACCCAGGAAAACGUGCCCUCGGCCAGAAGGCUUGGGGCGCUUUUGCGUUCAAAGACACGGUGGUUCACGGGAUUCUGCGCUUCACAGCAAAUAUCAAAAUUCCCCUCGUUCUUCAACAAUGCGACACCCGAAAUAUCCAUUAACGAAAGUCAUUUUAAACUUUGCUUUGAAUUGCUGAUUCCGAACAACCACCGUCUCCUGGUUGGCGAAUUCAGACCGUUUACUUSUGUGUUACGUGACACUUUUCUGGCCGGGGUUUGGUUAUAUCCCCCMGCUAUGUGCACGAACC